ACCCGCUGAACUUAAGCAUAUCAAUAAGCGGAGGAAAAGAAACCAACAGGGAUUGCCCUAGUAACGGCGAGUGAAGCGGCAACAGCUCAAAUUUGAAAUCUGCCUUCGGGCCGAGUUGUAAUUUGUAGAGGAAGCUUUUGGUGAGGCACCUUCUGAGUCCCCUGGAACGGGGCGCCAUAGAGGGUGAGAGCCCCGUAUAGUCGGAUGCCGAUCCAAUGUAAAGCUCCUUCGACGAGUCGAGUAGUUUGGGAAUGCUGCUCAAAAUGGGAGGUAAAUGUCUUCUAAAGCUAAAUACCGGCCAGAGACCGAUAGCGCACAAGUAGAGUGAUCGAAAGAUGAAAAGCACCUUGAAAAGGGGGUUAAAUAGCACGUGAAAUUGUUGAAAGGGAAGCGUUUGUGACCAGACUUGCGCCGCCCCGAUCAUCCGGUGUUCUCACCGGUGCACUCGGGGCGGCGCAGGCCAGCAUCGGUUUCGGCGGGGGGAUAAAGGCCCGGGGAACGUAGCUGCUCCGGCAGUGUUAUAUCCCCGGGCGUAAUGCCCUCGCCGGGACCGAGGUUCGCGCAUCUGCAAGGAUGCUGGCGUAAUGGUCACCAACGACCCGUCUUGAAACACGG
RNAcentral lists this ribosomal RNA (615 nucleotides) under uncultured fungus. RNAcentral's name for it is "LSU rRNA". It matches the Rfam family "Eukaryotic large subunit ribosomal RNA", at positions 23 to 664 of the family's 3401-position model. Lineage: Eukaryota; Fungi. The record is from RNAcentral.